UACGUAGGGUGCGAGCGUUGUCCGGAAUUAUUUGGCGUAAAGAGCUUGUAGGCGGUCUGUCGCGUCUGCUGUGAAAAUCCGGGGCUCAACCCCGGACUUGCAGUGGGUACGGGCAGACUAGAGUGUGGUAGGGGAGACUGGAAUUCCUGGUGUAGCGGUGAAAUGCGCAGAUAUCAGGAGGAACACCGAUGGCGAAGGCAGGUCUCUGGGCCACUACUGACGCUGAGAAGCGAAAGCAUGGGGAGCGAACAGG
This 253-nucleotide ribosomal RNA is filed under the name uncultured bacterium. Its description in RNAcentral is "partial 16S ribosomal RNA". It matches the Rfam family "Bacterial small subunit ribosomal RNA", at positions 524 to 776 of the family's 1533-position model. The record is from RNAcentral.